UACGUAGGGCGCAAGCGUUGUCCGGAAUUAUUGGGCGUAAAGAGCUCGUAGGUGGUUUGUCGCGUCUGCCGUGAAAGCCCGGGGCUUAACUCCGGGUCUGCGGUGGAUACGGGCAGACUAGAGGCAGGUAGGGGAGAACGGAAUUCCCGGUGUAGCGGUGAAAUGCGCAGAUAUCGGGAGGAACACCGGUGGCGAAGGCGGUUCUCUGGGACGGUACUGACGCUGAGACGCGAAAGCGUGGGGAGCGAACAGG
This 253-nucleotide ribosomal RNA is filed under the name uncultured bacterium. Its description in RNAcentral is "partial 16S ribosomal RNA". It matches the Rfam family "Bacterial small subunit ribosomal RNA", at positions 524 to 776 of the family's 1533-position model. The record is from RNAcentral.